This is a long non-coding RNA of Megalops cyprinoides (Indo-Pacific tarpon), 406 nucleotides long. RefSeq lists it as uncharacterized. The record is from RefSeq and is a predicted model, not a curated record. NCBI's taxonomy places the organism in Eukaryota, Metazoa, Chordata, Actinopteri, Elopiformes, Megalopidae. The transcript has 5 exons.
GUGGUAGCGGGGUCGAGGGUUGCGUAGUAGUUUAGCGCGAGGGGAACUCAGAAAACGUCGGAAGGGGACCAGGCAGGACCUUGUCUAAUAUUAAUCAAUGGACUUGGAAGGACAGGUGUUCAUCAGGCAAAUCAAUUUCAAUCAGUUCCUCCCUGCCUCACCAAAGCAGUUACCUUGUCCCAUGAUGGUGCUGCAACUCUCAAUGCCACACAGCUUCUUUCAGCCUCUGUCAGGGCAAGGGGAGAGCACUCUUGCUGGAAGAUGAGGAAAGCUGGCAGGAGAAAUUCAUGGCCAGGAGGCUUUUUUUCCCAGUUAUCCACUACAAAAUGCUGUAUGUCUUGGCCCACCCCAAGCAUUUGGCCUAGUUUCCCUUUCUAAGAAGUGUUUGGGACUGCUACGCAUCCUA